This 253-nucleotide ribosomal RNA is filed under the name uncultured bacterium. RNAcentral describes it as "partial 16S ribosomal RNA". It matches the Rfam family "Bacterial small subunit ribosomal RNA", at positions 524 to 776 of the family's 1533-position model. The record is from RNAcentral.
UACGAAGGGGGCUAGCGUUGCUCGGAAUUACUGGGCGUAAAGGGCGCGUAGGCGGAUGUUUAAGUCGGGGGUGAAAGCCCGGGGCUCAACCUCGGAAUUGCCUUCGAUACUGGACAUCUUGAGUACGGGAGAGGUGAGUGGAACUCCGAGUGUAGAGGUGAAAUUCGUAGAUAUUCGGAAGAACACCAGUGGCGAAGGCGACUCACUGGCCCGUUACUGACGCUGAGGCGCGAAGGCCAGGGGAGCAAACGGG